RNAcentral lists this unclassified non-coding RNA (294 nucleotides) under uncultured fungus. RNAcentral's name for it is "sequence contains ITS2". The stretch from base 1 to 52 matches the Rfam family "5.8S ribosomal RNA", at positions 103 to 154 of the family's 154-position model. Lineage: Eukaryota; Fungi. The record is from RNAcentral.
AACGCACCUUGCACUCUUUGGUAUUCCGAAGAGUAUGUCUGUUUGAGUGUCGUGAACCUCUCAACCCCCCUAUCUUGUAAUGAGAUAGACUUGUGGGCUUGGAUUAUGGCUGCCUGUCGGUUUAAUAAGCCGGCUCAGCUGAAAUACACGAGCAACCCAAUUGAAAAGCGACGGCUUGACUCAGCGUAAUAAUUAUUUCGCUGAGGACGUCUGUAUUUCAGAUAGUGGUGCUUCUAAUGCAUAUCUACUUAAGCUUUAGACCUCAAAUCAGGCAGGACUACCCGCUGAACUUAA